RNAcentral lists this ribosomal RNA (253 nucleotides) under uncultured bacterium. RNAcentral's name for it is "partial 16S ribosomal RNA". It matches the Rfam family "Bacterial small subunit ribosomal RNA", at positions 524 to 776 of the family's 1533-position model. The record is from RNAcentral.
UACGGAGGAUGCAAGCGUUAUCCGGAAUGAUUGGGCGUAAAGCGUCCGCAGGUGGCUGUGUAAGUCUGCUGUUAAAGAGUCUAGCUCAACUAGAUAAAGGCAGUGGAAACUACACGGCUAGAGUGCGUUCGGGGCAGAGGGAAUUCCUGGUGUAGCGGUGAAAUGCGUAGAUAUCUGGAGGAAUACCGGUGGCGAAGGCGGCAUCCUGGACCAUUACUGACGCUGAGGCGCGAAAGCUAGGGGAGCAAACGGG